This 235-nucleotide ribosomal RNA is filed under the name uncultured bacterium. RNAcentral describes it as "partial 16S ribosomal RNA". It matches the Rfam family "Bacterial small subunit ribosomal RNA", at positions 116 to 354 of the family's 1533-position model. The record is from RNAcentral.
UGUAGAGAAUCUGCCCUGUACUGGGGGGCAACAGAGGGAAACUUCUGCUAAUACCCCAUAUGAGCGUACCUGCGAUGGUAUUCUUGAAAGUUCCGGCGGUACAGGAUGAGUCUGCAUCUGAUUAGCUAGUUGGUGGUGUAAUGGACUACCAAGGCGACGAUCAGUAGCUGGUUUGAGAGGAUGAUCAGCCACAAUGGGACUGAGACACGGCCCAUACUCCUACGGAAGGCAGCAG